UAAUACGUAGGGGGCUAGAGUUGUCCGGAUUUACUGGGUGUAAAGGGUGCUCAGGUGGAUUUGUAAGUCAGAGGUGAAAUCCCAAAGCUUAACUUUGGAGCUGCCUUUGAUACUGCAAGUCUUGAGUUUGAGAGAGGGUAAUGGAAUAUCUGGUGUAGCAGUGAAAUGCGUAGAUAUCAGAUAGAACACCAAUGGCGAAGGCAGUUACCUGGCUCAAAACUGACGCUAAAGCACGAAAGUGUGGGGAGCAAACAGGAUUAGAUACCCUGGUAGUCCACACCCUAAACGAUGAAUACUAGAUGUUGGUCCUUUAUAGGAUCAGUAUCCAAGCUAACGCAUUAAGUAUUCCACCUGGGAAGUACAAUCGCAAGGUUG
Molecule: ribosomal RNA, 375 nt
Filed under: uncultured bacterium
Lineage: Bacteria
Description: bacterial SSU rRNA
Rfam family: Bacterial small subunit ribosomal RNA
Source: RNAcentral